RNAcentral lists this transfer RNA (83 nucleotides) under Candidatus Woesebacteria bacterium. RNAcentral describes it as "tRNA-Leu". It matches the Rfam family "tRNA". From Rfam's summary of the family: Transfer RNA (tRNA) molecules are approximately 80 nucleotides in length. Their secondary structure includes four short double-helical elements and three loops (D, anti-codon, and T loops). Further hydrogen bonds mediate the characteristic L-shaped molecular structure. tRNAs have two regions of fundamental functional importance: the anti-codon, which is responsible for specific mRNA codon recognition, and the 3' end, to which the tRNAs corresponding amino acid is attached (by aminoacyl-tRNA synthetases). tRNAs cope with the degeneracy of the genetic code in two manners: having more than one tRNA (with a specific anti-codon) for a particular amino acid; and 'wobble' base-pairing, i.e. permitting non-standard base-pairing at the 3rd anti-codon position. Lineage: Bacteria; Candidatus Woeseibacteriota. The record is from RNAcentral.
GCCCGAGUGUUGGAAUGGCAGACAAGUUAGUCUCAAAAACUAAUGAGGGCAACCUCGUGUGAGUUCGACUCUCACCUCGGGCA